Coffea arabica (coffee) is the source of this 1005-nucleotide non-coding RNA. NCBI's taxonomy places the organism in Eukaryota, Viridiplantae, Streptophyta, Magnoliopsida, Gentianales, Rubiaceae. The record is from RefSeq and is a predicted model, not a curated record.
CCAACUAACACACAAACACGCCAAGAAACACACGCAGUGACAGACAGGUCUUUCCCUCUCAUACUUGUAUCUAUUGUGCUUGCUGCAAGAAAACAAAUUUCCAGGCUUUUCAAAACCCUAAGAGAAAUUCCACCAAGAAUCCAGCUUGAAAUCUCAGCUUUGAUCACAAUUCAUGUCAUGUUAAAUACGGAGAAAGUUCAUUUCUUCCCAUAAAAAUACCAACUUUUUGGCUAUGGCUUGGUUUCCGAAAUUCUCUGCUGUUCAGCCUUCAUCAGCGGCCCUGAAGAUCUCUUCUUUUCUGGGUUUUAUUUUAAUUUGCAAGAAGGGUUUUGGAUAUCAAUGUGGUUGUCUUAAGCCCAGUUCAGUAUUUUGUUGCCUUGGAUGGAACAACCAGUUUCAGUACUAGCAGUAGCACUAAUAAGAAGCUAACAAUGGGGCUGAUGGGAAUUCAGCUGGAGCGCAAUAAAGGAGUAAAGUUAUGGGCUUUAGGGGAUUUCAACCGGGUUUGGAUCUGCCCAAUUGGCCCCCUGCCUGACCAGGCUUGGUUUCGCUCUGUUCAGCAAGAUAAUCAGUGGGAGGCGAAAAUGCUUCUUGCGGACAGGACAAAAGAAAGAAGAAGAAAGAUGAAGAAGAAGAAAAGGAAGGAUAUAACUAUGUGUUGCUCAUCAAAAAUAAAGAAGUUAGUUUCAAUCCAUCAUCGAAUUAAUGAUCUACCAGAUUCAUUGCCGUUUUGUCCGUCAGGUGCAUUUGCCAGAUCUACAGCUACAGAGUGGACAAAAAAGAAGCAUUACCACCUCUUGGCACAUUGAAGUGCUCCCAAAUCUACAGCCAGUAUCAUGAAGCUUGCGUGGAAGAACGUGGUAGAAAAAUAGACUUGGCUUCUGGUAGCUGGUAUUCUUGUUACACGUGUCAAGAGGUCUAUCUAGGUCUUCAAGGACAAGGUGGCCUCAUGAACCUGCUUCAUGAUGGAGCCUGAGGCAAGACGAGGCCGACCCAAAGACUAGG